CAGGAGUGUGUGUGCAGUCUGAGUCUGCGUGAGUUCCCCUUCCCCCACUGUUCUCCUGCGGCGUGAGAGUACAAAUGGGAGAAGGCUGCAUUCCUCAGCUCGCCUCUUUCUCCAAACUGUUGCUGGGAGGGGUGAGUUAAUCCCUCUUUGAUAUCUUUUCCUAUAGCGCCUAUUUCUCAAAUAAAGGCUCUGUCAUCGCCUUUGUUUGCUCUACAUCUUGGUGAGAAAGGCAGGAGCAACAUCACUCCAGCAUGCUCUAGUCCAUGAGGAAAUAUCAUGACACCCUGUGGUGCACUGCUGAACUUUUGGGAACUGGCAAGCCUGAAUCAGAAGUGCUACUGGUCCAUGAAGAUAUGCCUCUAGAAAGAAUAUCAAGUACUGGCCCAACAGAACCGUGGAAAAGACUGCCUAUAAUUGCCUUUAUUGCCUUAACAUUCUGCACUGUGGCGGGUAUUGUACAUGCAUCGUGAAGUACAUUGUAUUUUGAGCCACCAAACUGCAGGAGCUCGCUUCCUACCUGCUCAGUCAUUGGUUCAUGCUGUGAAGGGGUUGGAGUGUAGUGGAAUUCCUAGGUCACAGUCUGAACCAAUGGGUGAGCACAUGAGUGCCUGGAGCGGGGGGGGGGGGGCUAGAGUCACCCCUUCUGUCUCAGGGAUGCUUCUUGGAGCGCGUGUGCAGUCUGAGCCUGUGUGCGUUCCCUUUCCCCCGCCCUUCUGCAGCGCAAGAAUGCGAACAGGAGAAGGCUGCGUUCCUCAGCUCGCCCCUUUUUCCAAACUGUUUUUUGGAGGGGCAGGAGCAACAUCACUCAAACACGCUUAUGAGGAAACAUCAUGACACCCUGUGACGCACUGCUGAACUUUUGGGGACUGGAGAGCAUGAAUCAGAAGCGCUACUGGUCCUUGAAAAAGAUACGCCUCGAGAAAGAACAUCAAGUACUGGCCCAACAGAACCGUGAAGGGGACUGCCACUGAUUGCCUUUAUUGUUUUGACAUCCCAUAUUGCGGCGGAUGUUGUGUAUGCGUCGCGAUGUGCAUUGUGUCUUGGGCCACCAGGUUGCAGGGGCUCACCCCCUACCUGCUCAGUCAUUGGUUCAUGCUGUGAAGGGGUGGAGUGUAGUGGAAUUCCAGGGUCACAGCCUGAACCAAUGGGUGGGCUCUGUGAGUGUGUGAGUGCGGCGGCGCGGCAGUACGAGCGGGGGAGGGACACAUUCCUCAGCUCGGCUCUGCCUGCGCGCUGCUACCGGGAGGGGUGAGUCGAUUCUUUUUGAUAUCUUUCCCUCGUGUGCCUAUUUCUUAAAUAAAGGCUUUGUCAUUACCUUCAUUUGCUCUACAGCUACAUAUUACCUACAAAAAAUAAUCCACAGAAAGGAGAUCAGUGACUCUUUCCCAUGGCCUGAGGAAGCUCUUGGAAUUAUAUGGACAGAAGUAGAAGAGAGUCACUUCCUUGGCCUGUCCUAUAGCCACAGAGACUCCUGUUGCAUUUUCCAAGCUGCAAACUAAGGACUAAGCAACCUCUGCCCUUCCUGCAGCCAGCACUCCCCUGAUGUAGUCCAGUGUGUGUACAGGGAACCUUGGACAGCUCUUAGCUCUCUCACCCACUGCUCCUUUCUGUACUCAGCCCAAACACAGAAACCAGAUCACACAAGUUUUCAGACCACAGAUCACAUGUUCUAGCUCUUUUGUACAACACAUGUCCAGAGACAGUUUAAUAAUACUUUCAUCAGAGACUUACAGGCACUUACAUAAAUGGUUCAGCUUUCUCAGCUGUAGGCACCAUUUUUGACAGAACUCAUCUUAGUAUAUUCACAUGAAAUACAGAAAUGAGUUGAAGUAUUUGUGUCUUUAAAAUGAGGAGAAGAAAAAGCCAGUCUGAACUCAAAUACCUUGGCUUACCAAUAUCACAUUUUUUUUUUUAACUAUUUACAGACAUUUUAAAAACACUACUUACAUGCCCCAAAAUGAUGCUUUUAAACAUAAUUCCAACUACAGUUAGCUCAAAUUAUCUAAGCUUUUUUUUUCCCCCGAGUAUAGCAAAGUAAUGCCUCUCAAAUUUAAUUUACAUAAUAAUUAAGCUAGAUUUCUCUGAAGACUCAUACAAUAUAAUCCCUAUUUUAUCAAUAAAUAGAUGGUUGUUGCAUAUUUUACAAUUUAUACAGAAUUGUAUGGAAUGUACUAAAGGAUAUUAACUAUGGCAUCACUUACUGACCACAUCAUACAAAUAUCACUUGUGGGUUAGAGCUCAUGAGAUUUUAAGGAGUUUUUAAAAACAUUUAUCAAUAAAUAAACAAAAUACUUUUUAUGGAGUCUGAAAAUUAAGAAAUUGAGAUUGAGGAUGUGGUGCAUCAGGAAUUAUGAUACAGGAUACAAAAUCAUUCUUCCAUUGAAUGCCACUGAUCUGACAGUUUUUUAUAAUGCAGAAAAUAGCUUUUGUACCUGAAACUUGUCAAUGCCAUCAACAGAGACAAGUGAGGCGUUAUCAGAUGGACAUAGCAUGGAAUGCCUUUUCUGUUUAAGGUCUAAGGAUACAGUUUGCACAUGGAAGCCUAUCAGUAAUUGUAGCUGUGGAACUAUUCAUUUCACAGGUUACAUUGGUACUGCUCAAAAUUAUCUCAUCCCAAUGUUUUCCUACAGUCAGUGAAAAUCAUAGCCUGAAACAAUUUAAACCUUUUGAGGGAAACAACAACAAAGUACAACAGAAGAACCCCCCUCUAACCUACCUCAACUCUUUCACCCAUAUGAAUGAGUAGAGUAUUUGCUAUGAGCAUAUUACAGUUCAAAGGAGUUUUUUUCUUCAGAAUUAUCCAUCAUCAACAUUUCACUAAUUUGCACAAUCAUCCUAACUCCAUAAGCAUACUCCUCCUGGUGCAGAGACAAAUUCAGACAAAGGAGAUCACCUUCAAAAACCAUUAAAAAGUUGGGGAGAUGAGUCAACAUUUGUAUAUUUUUGAUCUUUCUAUAAUUUUAGAUUAAAGAGGACUGUUUAUUUCCACACAAAAUUGAGAUCACUGGUCUGACUGGUUUCACAGAGCGUUUCAGAUAAACUACAUUUUCUUUACACUACAUGCUACAGCUUCCUUUGGUGGGGAGAAAAACAGAAUGACAGUAGUGAAGGGAACACAGCCCAUAUUCCAGUCUGAUACAUUACUAAGCCACACUUCCACUGUUUGCAAUAUUAUUAGAAGUGCUGUUUCGCACAGUCACUGGUGCCAGAGGACUCAAAAUCAAAUCUGAAGUCAUUAUAUAAAAAUGAUACUGCAGAACUCAAUUUUAACUUCAUUAAAGUAACAAAAUAGCUGACAAAUGGAGCCAUCCACUCUGAUGUGUCUCAGCUUCAAAUAACGCAUAAAACAAUUGGAAACUCAGCCUUAGGGCUGCUGCUGCUGCUUUAAAGUAGUCAGUAGUACUGACAGAGUUAAAAACACUGAAAUGUAACACUACAGAAUUAAAAAGUUAACAAUAAGUCAUGAACCUAACUAAAAUGCAGGUUGAAGUCAAAAGAACAUGAUUAAGACUACAUGGAACCUUGAGCAGUGUUUGAAAGGGAAAGAUGAAGUCUUUUGUUAGGACAGCACAAAUCAAGGACAGCACAGCGUCCCCAGAAUGAUUACACAGCCCUGAAUGAUUUCAGGAAGUUAUGAAAUAAUUUUAGCAAAGAACAACACACAGCACAUACAUUUAAUAAAUUUUCAUCAACUGGCAAACUAUAACAUUAUCAACCUGUUUUUUCUACCCAUUUAUAAAACUGAUCAAACCCACUUCAGAGCAUGUACAUCCUAAAAUCUGCUGUGGCAUAUAUCUUAUUUCUGCAUCCUGUAACUUUAAUUAUUUUAAACUUGCAUCUAAAUAGCUGAAGACAAAAGCUUCAGAACAUGACUUUCACAGUGUAAAACACUGCUGCUUAUUACAGAGUAAACCAAAUUCAGGUUGUAUUUUCCUCUUCAAUAUCUGAUCUUUUAAACUACUCACGUGCUUUACAAGCUUCAGAUAAACUACAUUUGUUAUUUGUUACCUCUAGAAACAAGAAGUCAAAUAUCUGUCCUUUCUUUGAAAGCUUUUUGUGUACUCCUUAUACAGCAUUGGCCUAUCAAGAAAGUAGUCCAGGCUUGGUUGUAGCAUUGCUUCAACAUCAUCAACAGGAAAAAAAAAAAAAAACCAACACAAAAAGCUCUUUCCUUAUUAAAAUUAAUAACAAUAACUAGCCAUCUCUGGAAAACCACAGGAAUUAGAAAUUUUAAACCAACCAGUUUGACAGCAUCCUCUAAUUUCACUGCCUUCUACACAGGCCAUUCUGACUUCACAACUCAAAUAUAUGUUUAAGGGGAAGAAAAGCACACUUCUAAACUACAAGCAAGAUUUUAAAUUAGUCAAAAGUAUUCAUAUUUUAUUCCUUUCAGUCUAUUUGUACUAUUAAAAAUACCACUGUUCCAAUUUCACAUUAAUCUAAUUUAUACAGACUUAAUAAUUGAUGUAGCACAUUUCCUUUUCAAAUAUUGUUCAUACCCCUGUCCCACAGGCUUUUCAAAAAUAUGCAUAUGGCUUAUAGUUUCCAUAAAGUCACAUGACAUACUUUAAGGAUAUCUCCUAUCAAAAAUUGAGGGCUUACUCCAAAUCUGACAGCUUACUCCAAUCUGACAGGAUCCCAAAAAACACUCCUCUAGGAAGAAUUUAAGCUUAUUAGUACUCUUUUACUAGAUUGUUCAAAAAAAAAAAGUACCUUUUCUGCUCAAGUGUUCAUCUAUUUCUUCUCUCAUGCAACACUUGAAGUCACAGUUCUGUUUAUGAGACUGCAAUCAAUUCUUCAGUAGUCAAUUAGAGUAUCUCAAAGGUGUAGGUUUUGGUGAAUAAUAAAGCAAUCAAUUUGAGCUCCUGCAGUCUUGUUCUUAUUUUAGUAUUUCUGAUAAUUACAAAAUAAAUACUCAGAAAGCCAGUUCCUACAUCAUAUUUUAUUAGUGGGAUCAAAGGCAGACUUCUAACACAAGCACUGCUAGCUGAGUUGUCACUGUAAUACUCACUGCAGAUUAAUCAAGAACAAUUUUACCUGCACCAGUGUUCACUGCAGUUCUAGAACACAAGAGAACUCUGCCAGAAGUUUUGAUUUAUGCUGACUGUUCAGUGGCCUGCUGGGAUUCUUACUCAAGUAAGAAAUAAAAUGAAAAAAUUGUUGCCAAUGAGAAAAAAAAAUACUAUAAUUGCAAUUUUUUUUAAGGUAAUGUUUCAGAAUUUCAAACACAAAAAACACCAAAUAGAUAUUAAGAGAAAUAUUACAGAAACUUCAAAGCUAAUAUAUAAUGGAAACAUAUAUAUUAAUUAGCAUCUAAUUCUUUUCCUUUGGUACUUAAAUCUGCAGCAUUACAGUCAUUUUACCAAAAUCAGAAAUCAGACAUGUUGCUUGGUUUCCAUAACCACUUUCUCUUACUAAUCCAAAAUGUACUCCUGAACCCAUAAGAUAGAGCAUGAUCCUCACAGGUGAAUAUUUAUAGAGAAUAAUGAUGGAAUCUGGUCGCAUUUUGAUAAAAAUUGUGCUGAAAGAGUCGCCUGAUGUUCUCAAUGAAGACAGCAGCAGUACAAUUACCUUGUAGUAACUUCUUUUAACACUAAAAACUGACAUGAAAUUGUCUUCAUGAAAUCCUUUCAUUAUUCCCUGGAACAAUGCUUGAGGCAUUAUGCCUGAUUCUGUCAUUAUCACAGCUCUACAUCUUAUUAAUGUAAACCAGGAGUAGAAAGAGAGAUGGUGAAUGAUAUUAAAAUCUGCCAUUUUGAGAAUAAUGUUCCAAAACAGAUCAAAGUGCUUGGAUGAUGCCUCCCAGUUCUCGCAGCUUUCAGUAUCAGUUUAUAAUGUCACCAACAAUUUCACUGCAUAGAAUCAAAAAAAGGCAGGUCCUCCUGUUCUCCAUUUUGGCUCAUUGAGAAGAUAUAGCUCAUCAGAAUGUUGAACCCGGUCCAUUGUUUCAAUUGCUUUAAAGCAAGAAAAAGAAGCAUCCUUCCUAAAUUAUUCCUCUUUGCCUCAUGCAUUUCGGCUCUGCAUCUCUAACACUAGAAUCCCAAACUAUUUCCUCAUAUUACAUGCAGCCUGGCAGAAGCAAAAAUACAGUUAUUAUUUUCUAUGUAGUUUUCACAACACAAAAGCAUUAAAGCUGCUCUUGUGAAAAGAUAUUCUCAAAAGCAAUUUAGUUUACAGUGCUUUUCUUCCACUUCUUGUCUCCUUUCUACACUUUUUGCAGUUACCCAGCUAAAGAGGAGAACGUGCCAGCUCCAUCUAGUUCAUAGAUUACAGCUAUCCUUUGGAAGCAGAGUUAUCCUCUUUCCCUCUGUGUAUAUUUUACUACUCAAGACAGUAAGAAAGAUAUAAAAAGCUAGGUAAGAAAAUUACAUACAACUGAUAUUUUAUAUAAUCAAAGAAUUGUUUGAAUUGGAUGGAAACCUUAGAGGCCAUCUGGUCCAAAUCCCCGGCAAUCAACAGGAAUAUCUACAGCUAAAUCAGGUUGCUCAGAGCCCCCAUCAGCCUGAUCUUGAGUGUCUAAAGGGAUAGGGCAUCCACCACCUUUCUGGGCAAUCUUUUUCCCGUGCCUCACCACCCUCACUGUAAAACACUUUCUUUAUAUCCAACCUGAAGCUCCCCUCUUUUAGUUUGAAACCCUUUUCCCUUUUCCUGUCACAAAAGACCCAGCUAAAGAGUCUGUCCCCAUCCUUCUUAUGGAUCCCCUUUACAUACUGAAAGACUACUCUCAGGUCUCCCCAGAGCCUUCUCUUCUUCAGGCUGAACAACCCCAGCUCUCCCAGUCUGUCCUCAUUGGGAAGGUGGUUCCAUCCCUGGGAUUAUUUUUGUGGACCCCCUCUGGACGUGCUCCAGCAGGUCCAUGUCUCUCUUGUCCUGAGGACUCCACAUCUGGCCACAGUACGCCAAGUGAGGCCUCACCAGUGCAGAGUAGAGAGCAGCUGUAUGAUUUCCCUCCACCUGCUGACCACACUGCUUUGGAUGCAGUCCAGGAUGUGGUUGGCUAUUUUUUUUUUUUUUUAAACCUUGCUAAGCUU
Molecule: long non-coding RNA, 7031 nt
Filed under: Gallus gallus (chicken)
Lineage: Eukaryota; Metazoa; Chordata; Aves; Galliformes; Phasianidae
Description: lncRNA (ENSGALG00010009589.1)
Source: RNAcentral